GGUAAAUACCAGAGGAAACAGCUUAAUGAGUUAAAAAUGGAAGUCUGGUGGAGCAGACAGCAGGCAGGGGAGGUUGCUUCUGGGCUGCUUCAUGUAAAACUAUGAUAUGUUUUUGAACUAUGUUUAUGUUUCUUUUUAGAACUAUGUAUAUUUUACCGACUAAGACAUCAUUUUAAUGCAACUUAGAACAUAUGAAAGCAGAACAUAUGACAUCAGAGUUGGCAUGGUGGCUCACACCUGUAAUCCCAGCCACCUGAGAGGCUGAGCAGGAGGAUCCAAAAUUCAAGGUCAGUCUGGGCAACUUAGCGAGACCCUAUUAUUGCAAAAUAAAGAUUUAAAAAGGGAUAGGGAUGUAAUCGAUGGUAGAGCAUCACUGGCUUCAAUCCCCAGUAUCAUAAAAAAAUAGAGCAGUUAUUACAGUAAUGACAAAAGAAUGUAGGAGGGACCCUAUCAGGAUGGUAGGAAGGGGAAAUAGUUCAAGAAUUUAAGCAGGUACAUUUGACAUUCCCUGGUUGACCUGUGGCUGCAGAACUCAAGAGAGAGAUGGAAGUAAUCAGUAGAAAUAAGUCUGAGUCUCAGCCUCCACCUCUUUCUUGAGGUCUGCAGCCACAAUUCAACCAGGGGCAAUCAGUAGAAAUAAAACCCACCAAGCUUCCAUGGGUUUUCUCCCCCACUAUUUGAAUGAACUAAUAGGGCAGAGACUCAAAUGGGUUCUGCUCAGCAAGUCUCACCCUCUACUACCACUUUCCUCAGAGCUUCCAGAUGUGUUCUAGAUGGCUGUCCAGCGCCUGGAGCUCAUCCUUGACUUCCACGUAUGUAGAACCCUGCCUCUCCAGCACUGGAGUGGACUGCGGUCCAUAGCAGUUCCAAGUGCUAAAAUGACUUUGAUGCCUAGAUGCCCAGUUCUUGUGUGUCAUAGAUUUGUUUUUUGUUCUUGCUGUGAGACAAGUACUCUACUACUGAUUACACCUCUAGCCUAGAUGUGUUUUUGAAAUAUAAAAAAAUUUCCAUCAUUUGUUUCUUAAUGUUUGUGGAGUCUUUAGUCUGUCUGCUUGAAGUCUGCUGUUGGGUAUCUGUUCCUGCUGAGGUCUGUCCUGUUAUCGAGCUCCACUAAUCUUGUUCCACUUAAGCCCUUAGUAUCACUGCCACCCAACUGCAAUUCCAUUCUAAGUGGUCACUCCAGUUCAACCAACACAGUGGCCAGGAUGACCGAUUCCUCUGCCAAUCUUAUUGGAUUCUUUUCUUUCCUUGGUACUGGGGAUUUGUGAGAAAUGACAGUCCAGUGCUCCAUUUUCAGAAUACAGCCGUAAUUGGACCCAAUUGUAGCCAUUUUGAUUAUAGCCCUUCACUUUGAUCCCCCCAAUUUUAAAAUUAGCUAAUCAGGUUUAUUGUACCCAAGCUCCUCCAAACAGGGCAAAGGGCAGUAAUAAAAGUGGUUGGCCUGCCUACCCCUGCCGGCUCGCUAGCCAGGUUUCUGCAGACACCCUUCUAGCAGGAGCAAACACCUUACCCAUCCACUUCUGAGCAUGUUUGGUUGCUUGCAGUAUUUCUAACAGGAUUGAACCUAGGGGUGCUUAACCACUGAACCACAUCCCCAGCCCUUUUUAAGACAGGGUCUCUUAAGGCUUCAAGUUACUGAGGCUGAUGUUGAACUUGUGAUCCUCCCGCCUCAACUUUCCCAGUUGUGGCGAUUACAGGCCUGCGCCCCCAUGCC
RNAcentral lists this long non-coding RNA (1714 nucleotides) under Marmota monax (woodchuck). The record is from RNAcentral. Lineage: Eukaryota; Metazoa; Chordata; Mammalia; Rodentia; Sciuridae.